Long non-coding RNA from Salmo salar (Atlantic salmon), 1930 nucleotides. RefSeq lists it as uncharacterized. The record is from RefSeq and is a predicted model, not a curated record. Lineage: Eukaryota; Metazoa; Chordata; Actinopteri; Salmoniformes; Salmonidae.
AGAAUGCAAAGUGUGUGCUCGUCUGAGGCUGGGAGUUGUUUUUCACACGGUUGACAUGGGUGGAACAACAUCCCGUGUACAGCACUGAAUCAGUUACAAAGAAAGGAUUUUCACAUAAGAGAAGUGUGUACCAAGAAAAAGAUAAUCGUUGGCUCUGACCCAUCGUGCUUCGGGGUUGAGACUUCCGCCUAAAUAUGUAUCAAGGUAUAUAUGAAGCUAUCUGACUGGCACAGUCAAGCAUGGACUAACAGUCUCGGCGUCAGUGGACUCAGUCAAGCGAGGACUGGUAGCCUACAGCACCGCUGAGCUCCGUGAUCACAAGCUAGGGAAUGGUAAUGCUGGAUCAAUGGGCUGGUGUGGAAGUCAAACGGGGACUGGCAUGACACCGCGAGUCAACAAGCGCCAACAACAGGUGCUGUACCUCGGGCCACAUUGGGUGUGUGCAGCGCAGGUCAUCGUUGGUGCGAUGCUCACACCAACUCUGCCAGCUCCUUAGCUUCCUCCUGGAGCCUAUCAUCUCCGCCACUUCCCGGCCCACCUCCACCACUGUUAGCCCCAGAGCCACCACCACCCCAAACACACGCCACCAGUCCUGCAGGGAAAACAUAAGGCUCCUCGGUUCGGAUAACAGACACAGAGAUGGCCACUGUCGUCCAGGAGACUAUAAACAGGAAGUUAAGGAGUAGGAGUAUCCAAGCCCCCAACCUACAGAGACACCAGUUUACUAUUCAGAGUGAAAUACUGAGCCACCAUUCAGUACUCUAUUAACAGUAGAUCCCUUCAGCUAUGUGUCUAACUGCGUGAAUGGUUAGGGCCUAUGGUAUAUUUUAUUUAUGACAGAGCAUGAGACUGGAGGGAGCAAGAGGGGUGACAGAGCCCAAUCUGGCAGGAGCGACACACCUGCCACUCCUGUCUGGCAAAAGUCUCUCUCAAAGUCUCUCUCUCUCUCACUGAUGAACUGACCUGCCAUAUAGUUUCCACUUGACAGUGAUGAGCUUCAGAACCACAGGGUGCAUGAUGAGAUCCAACUUCCCCUGGUGUACUAUGAACUCCAACUUUGGCAAGAGAGAGAGAAUUUAGAGAAAAUUCAUAUCGCAAUUAUGAUCAAAUUAGUUGACUUAUUUGACUCAUCUUAGUUUUCAUCCAUUAUCACUUUAUUAGCCUGUUUAGCCUUAAAGAGUGGGACAUACUGGUGAUGUAGGCUCACUGGCAACACCCUCUGGAAGACAAAAAAUAGAAAUGAGAGAUCGCACAAAUAGUUUAGAAGUCUGUUGCACGGUUUGACCCCCAGAGUUAGGUGGUUAAACAGAGUGUGUUUUUAUUAGUGGGAUCAUUGACCAUAUAGGACAUUUUAUUCUGUGUAAAUAGUAUAUAUUUUUUUCAGACUAUACCUUGUGAGCCCUGUCCUGGUGGAUUCUGCUUGCUGGGUGGCUCUGGCUCCAGCAGGUGAAGGUAGUAGAACUGCUGCCUGGUCAUCCGGUCAGUCACAUGGAACUGGUUUAGAGCCAAAUGAGCCUGACAAGACCAAAGAGAGCUGAACAAUACUAUAGGAUGACCACGUACAGAACCCACUCUAUGACAACAACUAGCACAUUGUCAGGACAAACUACACAGUUGGAGCAUGUGCUACAGUAUGAUGACUCAUUUGGGUCAGUGACCAUCCGACCCAUAUUUACCACGGAGGUCAUCUUGUCAAUCAUGGCGGUGAUGCAAAGUUGACCAUCGGAGUCCUUCACCCCAGCAUCAGCCCCCAGUUCCAUUAGUGUCCGUGCAGCCUCACUCCUGUCUGAAUACACACAGGAGUACAACAAAAGAAGCAUAAUCAAGUACAGCAAUAACUGUGUAAUGUACAAUUUAGUUAUUUAGGUGAGGUGGAGGGUACAUUUCCAUGUGUGUUUGGACAAUAAAGUUGUGUUUUAUUCUAUUCUAA